Molecule: ribosomal RNA, 524 nt
Filed under: uncultured bacterium
Lineage: Bacteria
Description: partial 16S ribosomal RNA
Rfam family: Bacterial small subunit ribosomal RNA
Source: RNAcentral
AACGAACGCUGGCGGCAGGCUUAACACAUGCAAGUCGAACGAAGCUGUUUUAACUGGUGCUUGCACCGACUUAAACAACUGAGUGGCGAACGGGUGAGUAACACGUGGGUAACCUGCCCCAAAGCGGGGGAUAACAUUUGGAAACAGAUGCUAAUACCGCAUAACCACAGAAACCACAUGGUUUCUGUGUCAAAGAUGGUUUCGGCUAUCACUUUGGGAUGGACCCGCGGCGUAUUAGCUAGUUGGUAAGGUAAUGGCUUACCAAGGCAAUGAUACGUAGCCGAACUGAGAGGUUGAUCGGCCACAUUGGGACUGAGACACGGCCCAAACUCCUACGGGAGGCAGCAGUAGGGAAUCUUCCACAAUGGACGAAAGUCUGAUGGAGCAACGCCGCGUGAGUGAAGAAGGUUUUCGGAUCGUAAAACUCUGUUGUCAGAGAAGAACGUGUGCGAGAGUAACUGUUCGUGCAGUGACGGUAUCUGGCCAGAAAGCCACGGCUAACUACGUGCCAGCCGCCGCCGUAA